Molecule: ribosomal RNA, 484 nt
Filed under: uncultured bacterium
Lineage: Bacteria
Description: partial 16S ribosomal RNA
Rfam family: Bacterial small subunit ribosomal RNA
Source: RNAcentral
GACGAACGCUGGCGGCGUGCUUAACACAUGCAAGUCGAACGAUGAACCCGGAGCUUGCUCCGGCGGAUUAGUGGCGAACGGGUGAGUAACACGUGAGUAACCUGCCCUUGACUCUGGGAUAACUGCGGGAAACUGUAGCUAAUACCGGAUACGACCCUCGGCGGCAUCGCCAGGGGGUGGAAAGAAUUUCGGUCAAGGAUGGACUCGCGGCCUAUCAGCUAGUUGGGGAGGUAACGGCUCACCAAGGCGACGACGGGUAGCCGGCCUGAGAGGGUGAACGGCCACACUGGGACUGAGACACGGCCCAGACUCCUACGUGAGGCAGCAGUGGGGAAUAUUGCACAAUGGGCGCAAGCCUGAUGCAGCAACGCCGCGUGAGGGAUGACGGCCUUCGGGUUGUAAACCUCUUUUAGUAGGGAAGAAGCGAAAGUGACGGUACCUGCAGAAAAAGCACCGGCUAACUACGUGCCAGCCGCCGCCGUAA